This 268-nucleotide ribosomal RNA is filed under the name uncultured bacterium. RNAcentral's name for it is "partial 16S ribosomal RNA". It matches the Rfam family "Bacterial small subunit ribosomal RNA", at positions 29 to 289 of the family's 1533-position model. The record is from RNAcentral.
ACGAACGCUGGCGGCGUGCCUAACACAUGCAAGUCGAACGGAGAUGUUUUGAAAGCUUGCUGAUAAGCAUCUUAGUGGCGCACGGGUGAGUAACACGUGGGCAACCUGCCCGGAAGUCUGGGAUAACAGUGCGAAAGUACUGCUAAUACCGGAUACCUUCACGAAGCUGCCUAGCUUUGUGAAGAAAGAUUAAUCGCUUCCGGAUGGGCCCGCGUCCCAUUAGCUAGUUGGUGAGGUAACGGCUCACCGAGGCGACGAUGGGUAGCUG